Molecule: ribosomal RNA, 270 nt
Filed under: uncultured bacterium
Lineage: Bacteria
Description: partial 16S ribosomal RNA
Rfam family: Bacterial small subunit ribosomal RNA
Source: RNAcentral
UUCCUACGGGACGCAGCAGUGGGGAAUAUUGCACAAUGGGGGGAACCCUGAUGCAGCGACGCCGCGUGAGGGAAGACGGUCUUCGGACUGUAAACCUCUUUCAGCAGGGAAGACAAAAGGACGGUACCUGCAGAAGAAGCCACGGCUAACUACGUGCCAGCAGCCGCGGUAAUACGUAGGUGGCAAGCGUUAUCCGGAAUUACUGGGUGUAAAGGGUGUGUAGGCGGGGCUGCAAGUCAGAUGUGAAAAUUAUGGGCUCAACCCAUAACC